RNAcentral lists this transfer RNA (69 nucleotides) under Rattus norvegicus (Norway rat). It matches the Rfam family "tRNA". From Rfam's summary of the family: Transfer RNA (tRNA) molecules are approximately 80 nucleotides in length. Their secondary structure includes four short double-helical elements and three loops (D, anti-codon, and T loops). Lineage: Eukaryota; Metazoa; Chordata; Mammalia; Rodentia; Muridae. The record is from Rfam by way of RNAcentral.
GGGGAUUUAGCUCAGUGGUAGAGCGCUUGCCUAGGAAGCGCAAGGCCCUGGGUUCGAUUCCCAGCUCCA